GAAUUGUGGGGCAAGCUUGGCCACUGAUGCAGAUUCUGCAGCUUGCUACACAGAAAGCCAGAGACCGAGAGCCAAUGACUGAGACUAUGAGUAUUGCCAAGGAAGAAGGCUUUAAUCGGGUGCUGCAGCUGAAAAGAUGAGAGCUCAGCCUCAAAUCCAUCUCCCUGACCAACUAAAGCUAAGGAUUUAUAUAGCAGGGAAGAAGACAGGAACUAGGAAGGGGCAAGGAAGCGAUCCUGAUGAAUGAAGGGUCAGGCAUUUCAUUGUCUGGAUGUGGCGAUCUGCUCACACUGGUCACACCUGGGACUUCCAACAUGAAUGCUUUUGUCACGGAUGCUGCGCUGCUGCUGUUUCUGGUUCUUACUCUGCUUACACCAAGGAGACUGAUGUCCCUGCUAUAACCCCACUUCCGAUGCAGACAGCAAUUCCAAUGCAUUGCAGCUUUCAGGAUUUU
Molecule: long non-coding RNA, 454 nt
Filed under: Homo sapiens (human)
Lineage: Eukaryota; Metazoa; Chordata; Mammalia; Primates; Hominidae
Description: non-protein coding lnc-PPP1R3B-4:3
Source: RNAcentral